AGAUAUAAYGGAGAGGRGURKCMAUGCASUAAAUCCGGAAGUAAYUGGGCGUCAAAGCGCACGCMGCGCGGUCUKUYCAAGUCGGAUGUUGAAAUCUCCCSGSGCUCCWACCUCGGGAACYGCAUCCKAAACUGGCAGSGCUAGAGUCYUGUAGAGGGGGUAGARUUCYCAGGUGUAGCGGUGAAAUGCGUAGAGAUCUGGAGGAAUACCGGUGGCGAAGRCGGCCCCCCYGGACAAAGACUGACGCUCAGGUGYGAAAGMGUGGGGAGCAAACASGAUUAGAUACCCUGGUAGUCCACGCCGUAAACGAUGUCGAUUUGGAGGUUGUGCCCYUGAGGSGUGGCUUCYGGAGCUAACGCGUUAAAUCGACCGCCUGGGGAGUACGGCCGCAAGGUUAAAACUCAAAUGAAUUGACGGGGGCCCGCACAAGCGGUGGAGCAUGUGGUUUAAUUYGAUGCAACGCGAAGAACCUUACCUGGUCUUGACAUCCACAGAACUUUCCAGAGAUGGAUUGGUGCCUUCGGGAACUGUGAGACAGGUGCUGCAUGGCUGUCGUCAGCUCGUGUUGUGAAAUGUUGGGUUAAGUCCCGCAACGAGCGCAACCCUUAUCYUUUGUUGCCAGCGGUUAGGCCGGGAACUCAAAGGAGACUGCCAGUGAUAAACUGGAGGAAGGUGGGGAUGACGUCAAGUCAUCAUGGCCCUUACGACCAGGGCUACACACGUGCUACAAUGGCAUAUACAAAGAGAAGCGACCUCGCGAGAGCAAGCGGACCUCAUAAAGUAUGUCGUAGUCCGGAUUGGAGUCUGCAACUCGACUCCAUGAAGUCGGAAUCGCUAGUAAUCGUAGAUCAGAAUGCUACGGUGAAUACGUUCCCGGGCCUUGUACACACCGCCCGUCACACCAUGGGAGUGGGUUGCAAAAGAAGUAGGUAGCUUAACCUUCGGGAGGGGSSGSYUUACCCACCUUGAGGG
RNAcentral lists this ribosomal RNA (972 nucleotides) under Klebsiella variicola. RNAcentral describes it as "partial 16S ribosomal RNA". It matches the Rfam family "Bacterial small subunit ribosomal RNA". The record is from RNAcentral. Lineage: Bacteria; Pseudomonadati; Pseudomonadota; Gammaproteobacteria; Enterobacterales; Enterobacteriaceae.